UAAGGAAUAUUGGUCAAUGGACGCAAGUCUGAACCUGCCAUGCCGCGUGGAGGAUGAAGGUCCUCUGGAUUGUAAACUUCUUUUAUCUGGGACGAAACACUUCUUUUCUAAGAGGCCUGACGGUACCAGAUGAAUAAGCACCGGCUAACUCCGUGCCAGCAGCCGCGGUAAUACGGAGGGUGCAAGCGUUAUCCGGAUUCACUGGGUUUAAAGGGUGCGUAGGUGGGUAUGUAAGUCAGUGGUGAAAUCCCCGAGCUUAACUUGGGAACUGCCAUUGAUACUAUAUAUCUUGAAUACCGUAGAGGUAAGCGGAAUAUGUCAUGUAGCGGUGAAAUGCUUAGAUAUAACAUGGAACACCAAUUGCGAAGGCAGCUUACUAUGCGGUGAUUGACACUGAGGCACGAAAGCGUGGGUAGCAAACA
RNAcentral lists this ribosomal RNA (422 nucleotides) under uncultured bacterium. RNAcentral's name for it is "bacterial SSU rRNA". It matches the Rfam family "Bacterial small subunit ribosomal RNA", at positions 355 to 774 of the family's 1533-position model. The record is from RNAcentral.